UACGGAGGGUGCAAGCGUUGUCCGGAUUUAUUGGGUUUAAAGGGUGCGUAGGCGGCCCUGUAAGUCAGUGGUGAAAUACUGCAGCUUAACUGUAGCAUUGCCAUUGAUACUGUGGGGCUUGAGUACAGAUGAGGUAGGCGGAAUUGAUGGUGUAGCGGUGAAAUGCAUAGAUACCAUCAAGAACACCGAUUGCGAAGGCAGCUUACUAAGCUGUAACUGACGCUGAGGCACGAAAGCGUGGGGAUCGAACAGG
Molecule: ribosomal RNA, 253 nt
Filed under: uncultured bacterium
Lineage: Bacteria
Also listed under: 1 other name
Description: partial 16S ribosomal RNA
Rfam family: Bacterial small subunit ribosomal RNA
Source: RNAcentral